This 410-nucleotide long non-coding RNA is filed under the name Olea europaea subsp. europaea. The record is from RNAcentral. Lineage: Eukaryota; Viridiplantae; Streptophyta; Magnoliopsida; Lamiales; Oleaceae.
AAUUUAUUUGGAACUAGAUUACCAUGGGAAAGUGAGAGUAGUUUAGUAAUCAUGUUUACAUAACACCAAAACAAUUUCAAAUUAAGUCCUCCGAUGACUACUACUGCCCACAGUUUAGCUUCUUCCUGAAAAUUUCCAUAAACAUCCUAGUAUUGAAGAACUUGAAUUCAGCGAAGGUCCAAAUGAUGCAUUGUCUUGAUUAACAGAAACUUUCAUAUUCAAGCAUCAGCUGUUUUGGCGAUGAGAGGAAUGGGCAACUAGCCUUUCUACGAGCCCUUCAUCUUGGCUUCUUGCUCACGGAUCUUCUGCAUCCGAAGCAUUCUCUCCAUAACAAGUUCAUACUCGCACUUUUCAUAGGUGUGGCACUCCACCUCACACUUCCAGAGCAAAUAGAAAAAACAUGGUGCAAU